CAACGCGAAGAACCUUACCAGGUCUUGACAUCCCACGAAUUUCAUCUGAAAGGAUGGAGUGCCUUCGGGAGCGUGGAGACAGGUGGUGCAUGGUUGUCGUCAGCUCGUGUCGUGAGAUGUUGGGUUAAGUCCCGCAACGAGCGCAACCCUUGCUAUUAGUUGCUAACAGGUAGAGCUGAGCACUCUAAUGGGACUGCCGGUGACAAGCCGGAGGAAGGUGGGGAUGACGUCAAAUCAUCAUGCCCUUUAUGACCUGGGCUACACACGUGCUACAAUGGAUGGCACAGAGAGCAGCGAGGCAGCGAUGUGGAGCGAAUCUCAAAAAGCCAUUCUCAGUUCGGAUUGGAGUCUGCAACUCGACUCCAUGAAGUCGGAAUCGCUAGUAAUCGCGAAUCAGCACGCCGCGGUGAAUACGUUCCCGGGCCUU
This 427-nucleotide ribosomal RNA is filed under the name uncultured Syntrophomonas sp. RNAcentral's name for it is "bacterial SSU rRNA". It matches the Rfam family "Bacterial small subunit ribosomal RNA", at positions 957 to 1382 of the family's 1533-position model. The record is from RNAcentral. Lineage: Bacteria; Bacillati; Bacillota; Clostridia; Eubacteriales; Syntrophomonadaceae.